Molecule: RNase P RNA, 694 nt
Filed under: Rhizoctonia solani AG-1 IB
Lineage: Eukaryota; Fungi; Basidiomycota; Agaricomycetes; Cantharellales; Ceratobasidiaceae
Description: Nuclear RNase P
Rfam family: Nuclear RNase P
About the family: Ribonuclease P (RNase P) is a ubiquitous endoribonuclease, found in archaea, bacteria and eukarya as well as chloroplasts and mitochondria. Its best characterised activity is the generation of mature 5'-ends of tRNAs by cleaving the 5'-leader elements of precursor-tRNAs.
Source: Rfam by way of RNAcentral
AUAGCUCGAAAGCCGCAUUUGCUCGUUACGUACAUGCCGAUUCUCUCGGCCUCUCGCGAGCGGGCUAAGGUCUGAGCAUUCUAGUCCUCUUGUAACCCGUGUCUAGCCGGCACCGGCUCUAACAAGGCCGAGCAGAGCAUCAGACAUGCGCUCUCUGCUGCUCGUAUCGCCCGGAGAACCGUAAGGGGAGGGCUUAGCGGCAUGCUGGAGCUUGGAAUAACUCUGCGAGGACAGGGCCGUUUGGUUUGCCUCGUCCUGGGCUUUUGGUCCUCUUUCACACCCACGCGCUAGCGUCGAGAACUAGCGCCCAGUCUUUCCGGAGACUGAGAAUCACGCAUUGUGCCCCCCGGGUAGACUCGGGAUGGGUGCGGUGUACGGCCUGGAUUAGUUCCAGGUGCCGAUUGAACCUGAGGAGAUCGGGGCGGUUCCACUGGACGUAGUGAGCCCGAGCCCAGAUUGUCGAGGUGGCACCUUGGCAGGACUCGGGAAUCGUGCGUACAAAAAUUGGCUGCAUACCAUCUUUCCUUCCACCCGAGUGUCGGGAAGGAGGCCUAAGCUCACCGGUUCAGUUGGUUGUGGUGAUCGAGGAGGAUAUCUCCAGGACGAGUCGAGCGGCUCUUGAGUUCACUUUGCGGCUCGCACAUGUUCGCCUUUUGGUGACUGCGAAACUCGAUUCAGACUACUCUUGGGCUGU